RNAcentral lists this ribosomal RNA (1050 nucleotides) under Leuconostoc mesenteroides. RNAcentral describes it as "bacterial SSU rRNA". It matches the Rfam family "Bacterial small subunit ribosomal RNA", at positions 411 to 1450 of the family's 1533-position model. Lineage: Bacteria; Bacillati; Bacillota; Bacilli; Lactobacillales; Lactobacillaceae. The record is from RNAcentral.
AAGGCUUUCGGGUCGUAAAGCACUGUUGUAUGGGAAGAACAGCUAGAAUAGGAAAUGAUUUUAGUUUGACGGUACCAUACCAGAAAGGGACGGCUAAAUACGUGCCAGCAGCCGCGGUAAUACGUAUGUCCCGAGCGUUAUCCGGGAUUUAUUGGGCGUAAAGCGAGCGCAGACGGUUUAUUAAGUCUGAUGUGAAAGCCCGGAGCUCAACUCCGGAAUGGCAUUGGAAACUGGUUAACUUGAGUGCAGUAGAGGUAAGUGGAACUCCAUGUGUAGCGGUGGAAUGCGUAGAUAUAUGGAAGAACACCAGUGGCGAAGGCGGCUUACUGGACUGCAACUGACGUUGAGGCUCGAAAGUGUGGGUAGCAAACAGGAUUAGAUACCCUGGUAGUCCACACCGUAAACGAUGAACACUAGGUGUUAGGAGGUUUCCGCCUCUUAGUGCCGAAGCUAACGCAUUAAGUGUUCCGCCUGGGGAGUACGACCGCAAGGUUGAAACUCAAAGGAAUUGACGGGGACCCGCACAAGCGGUGGAGCAUGUGGUUUAAUUCGAAGCAACGCGAAGAACCUUACCAGGUCUUGACAUCCUUUGAAGCUUUUAGAGAUAGAAGUGUUCUCUUCGGAGACAAAGUGACAGGUGGUGCAUGGUCGUCGUCAGCUCGUGUCGUGAGAUGUUGGGUUAAGUCCCGCAACGAGCGCAACCCUUAUUGUUAGUUGCCAGCAUUCAGAUGGGCACUCUAGCGAGACUGCCGGUGACAAACCGGAGGAAGGCGGGGACGACGUCAGAUCAUCAUGCCCCUUAUGACCUGGGCUACACACGUGCUACAAUGGCGUAUACAACGAGUUGCCAACCCGCGAGGGUGAGCUAAUCUCUUAAAGUACGUCUCAGUUCGGAUUGUAGUCUGCAACUCGACUACAUGAAGUCGGAAUCGCUAGUAAUCGCGGAUCAGCACGCCGCGGGUGAAUACGUUCCCGGGUCUUGUACACACCGCCCGUCACACCAUGGGAGUUUGUAAUGCCCAAAGCCGGUGGCCUAACCUUUUAGGAAGG